CAGUCGCCACGGUAAUACGGGGGGCGCGAGCGUUACCCGGAUUUACUGGGCGUAAAGGGCGUGUAGGCGGCCUGGGGCGUCCCAUGUGAAAGGCCACGGCUCAACCGUGGAGGAGCGUGGGAUACGCUCAGGCUAGAGGGUGGGAGAGGGUGGUGGAAUUCCCGGAGUAGCGGUGAAAUGCGCAGAUACCGGGAGGAACGCCGAUGGCGAAGGCAGCCACCUGGUCCACUUCUGACGCUGAGGCGCGAAAGCGUGGGGAGCAAACCGGAUUAGAUACCCGGGUAGUCCCUGUCUCUUAUAC
This 301-nucleotide ribosomal RNA is filed under the name uncultured bacterium. Its description in RNAcentral is "partial 16S ribosomal RNA". It matches the Rfam family "Bacterial small subunit ribosomal RNA", at positions 509 to 807 of the family's 1533-position model. The record is from RNAcentral.